UCAAGGAAUUGCCAUCAAGCUAGGACACAAUCAAAACCAUGACGCACUGGGUUGAGCACCAAAACCAGAGGAGUUGUAGACCCUUCUGUUGGGAAGAAACAAGCACCAAGCUUGGUGCACCGCAAAGGACUAGACUUGGCCAAAUCUCCUGAAGGAUGUCCCAGCAAAAGAUCCCCUGAUCAGAGAAGGAUUUAUGCUAGCAGCU
Molecule: unclassified non-coding RNA, 205 nt
Filed under: Hevea brasiliensis (rubber tree)
Lineage: Eukaryota; Viridiplantae; Streptophyta; Magnoliopsida; Malpighiales; Euphorbiaceae
Source: RNAcentral